This 603-nucleotide transfer RNA is filed under the name uncultured Prochlorococcus sp. Its description in RNAcentral is "partial 16S-23S ribosomal RNA intergenic spacer". The stretch from base 222 to 294 matches the Rfam family "tRNA". The record is from RNAcentral. Lineage: Bacteria; Bacillati; Cyanobacteriota; Cyanophyceae; Synechococcales; Prochlorococcaceae.
CGUGAUGUCUUAGAUAUUUAAUUCUUAGGCCAUGAUCCUGUCACCUUAGGUCGAUCGGUACCUCAGUUUGAUUUCAGAUUAGAAAUUAAAUUCAGUUCCUAAACUUUGUCUAGGUCACACCCAGCAAGGGUACUCCUGGGCUAUUAGCUCAGGUGGUUAGAGCGCACCCCUGAUAAGGGUGAGGUCCCUGGUUCAAGUCCAGGAUGGCCCAUUCCGAUGUUGGGGGUAUAGCUCAGUUGGUAGAGCGCCUGCUUUGCAAGCAGGAUGUCAGCGGUUCGAGUCCGCUUACCUCCACUGAUCGAAUUCCCGAUAUCGACUUGAAGGAGAUUAUCUUUGCUUGAUGAGACUUAGACUACUGUUUUUUUGAAUUAGAACCCAGCUUCUUGUUAUUCGCUUUUUAAAUUGCGAGGCUUGUUUAACAAGAUGCUGGGCUCAGCUGUAAUCAAAUGAUUGCAGAAAGUUCAGUAGAACCUUGACAACUGCAUAGGAUAAGUCUGGAAAGAAUAAAGCAUCUCAUGAUGCAUUGUUCUAAAUAAAUCUAGAAACUCUAGUUUUAUUUAAUGAAUAAUGUUUAAUUCUUGAGCAAGAGCCGAGACUCUAUAG